GAAAUGAAUAGCUAAAUUUAAGUGUGUUGGUUACAUCAAUAUGAUACUGAGAAGUUUUAUUU
RNAcentral lists this transfer RNA (62 nucleotides) under Trioza remota. RNAcentral describes it as "tRNA-Val". The record is from RNAcentral. Lineage: Eukaryota; Metazoa; Arthropoda; Insecta; Hemiptera; Triozidae.